RNAcentral lists this ribosomal RNA (301 nucleotides) under uncultured bacterium. Its description in RNAcentral is "partial 16S ribosomal RNA". It matches the Rfam family "Bacterial small subunit ribosomal RNA", at positions 509 to 808 of the family's 1533-position model. The record is from RNAcentral.
CAGCAGCCGCGGGAAUACGUAGGUCCCGAGCGUUGUCCGGAUUUAUUGAGCGUAAAGCGAGCGCAGGCAGUUAGAUAAGUCUGAAGUUAAAGGCUGUGGCUUAACCAUAGUACGCUUUGGAAACUGUUUAACUUGAGUGCAAGAGGGGAGAGUGGAAUUCCAUGUGUAGCGGUGAAAUGCGUAGAUAUAUGGAGGAACACCGGUGGCGAAAGCGGCUCUCUGGCUUGUAACUGACGCUGAGGCUCGAAAGCGUGGGGAGCAAACAGGAUUAGAUACCCCCGUAGUCCCUGUCUCUUAUACA